This 1437-nucleotide ribosomal RNA is filed under the name Staphylococcus aureus. RNAcentral describes it as "bacterial SSU rRNA". It matches the Rfam family "Bacterial small subunit ribosomal RNA". Lineage: Bacteria; Bacillati; Bacillota; Bacilli; Caryophanales; Staphylococcaceae. The record is from RNAcentral.
AGAUGUGUAUAAGAGACAGCUAUAAGACUGGGAUAACUUCGGGAAACCGGAGCUAAUACCGGAUAAUAUUUUGAACCGCAUGGUUCAAAAGUGAAAGACGGUCUUGCUGUCACUUAUAGAUGGAUCCGCGCUGCAUUAGCUAGUUGGUAAGGUAACGGCUUACCAAGGCAACGAUGCAUAGCCGACCUGAGAGGGUGAUCGGCCACACUGGAACUGAGACACGGUCCAGACUCCUACGGGAGGCAGCAGUAGGGAAUCUUCCGCAAUGGGCGAAAGCCUGACGGAGCAACGCCGCGUGAGUGAUGAAGGUCUUCGGAUCGUAAAACUCUGUUAUUAGGGAAGAACAUAUGUGUAAGUAACUGUGCACAUCUUGACGGUACCUAAUCAGAAAGCCACGGCUAACUACGUGCCAGCAGCCGCGGUAAUACGUAGGUGGCAAGCGUUAUCCGGAAUUAUUGGGCGUAAAGCGCGCGUAGGCGGUUUUUUAAGUCUGAUGUGAAAGCCCACGGCUCAACCGUGGAGGGUCAUUGGAAACUGGAAAACUUGAGUGCAGAAGAGGAAAGUGGAAUUCCAUGUGUAGCGGUGAAAUGCGCAGAGAUAUGGAGGAACACCAGUGGCGAAGGCGACUUUCUGGUCUGUAACUGACGCUGAUGUGCGAAAGCGUGGGGAUCAAACAGGAUUAGAUACCCUGGUAGUCCACGCCGUAAACGAUGAGUGCUAAGUGUUAGGGGGUUUCCGCCCCUUAGUGCUGCAGCUAACGCAUUAAGCACUCCGCCUGGGGAGUACGACCGCAAGGUUGAAACUCAAAGGAAUUGACGGGGACCCGCACAAGCGGUGGAGCAUGUGGUUUAAUUCGAAGCAACGCGAAGAACCUUACCAAAUCUUGACAUCCUUUGACAACUCUAGAGAUAGAGCCUUCCCCUUCGGGGGACAAAGUGACAGGUGGUGCAUGGUUGUCGUCAGCUCGUGUCGUGAGAUGUUGGGUUAAGUCCCGCAACGAGCGCAACCCUUAAGCUUAGUUGCCAUCAUUAAGUUGGGCACUCUAAGUUGACUGCCGGUGACAAACCGGAGGAAGGUGGGGAUGACGUCAAAUCAUCAUGCCCCUUAUGAUUUGGGCUACACACGUGCUACAAUGGACAAUACAAAGGGCAGCGAAACCGCGAGGUCAAGCAAAUCCCAUAAAGUUGUUCUCAGUUCGGAUUGUAGUCUGCAACUCGACUACAUGAAGCUGGAAUCGCUAGUAAUCGUAGAUCAGCAUGCUACGGUGAAUACGUUCCCGGGUCUUGUACACACCGCCCGUCACACCACGAGAGUUUGUAACACCCGAAGCCGGUGGAGUAACCUUUUAGGAGCUAGCCGUCGAAGGUGGGACAAAUGAUUGGGGUGAAGUCGUAACAAGGUAGCCGUAUCGGAAGGUGCGGCUGGAUCACCUCCUUU